UACUGCUCAGUAACACGUGGACAACCUACCCUCAGCACGGGGAUAAACCCGGGAAACUGGGUAUAAUACCCGAUAGUUCUGGUUAGCUGGAAUGCUACCAGGACGAAAGCUCCGGCGACUGAGGAUGGGUCUGCGGCCUAUCAGGUAGUAGUGGGUGUAAUGUACCUACUAGCCUACGACGGGUACGGGUUGUGAGAGCAAGAGCCCGGAGAUGGAUUCUGAGACAU
Molecule: ribosomal RNA, 227 nt
Filed under: uncultured archaeon
Lineage: Archaea
Description: partial 16S ribosomal RNA
Rfam family: Archaeal small subunit ribosomal RNA
Source: RNAcentral